CUUCAAUGUGAGCAGGCGGUUUGGCUAUGUUGCCUUUCAAAACUAUGUCCCUUCUUCCGUGACCACGAUGCUCUCCUGGGUUUCCUUUUGGAUCAAGACAGAGUCUGCUCCAGCCCGGACCUCUCUAGGGAUCACCUCUGUUCUGACCAUGACCACGUUGGGCACCUUUUCUCGUAAGAAUUUCCCGCGUGUCUCCUAUAUCACAGCCUUGGAUUUCUAUAUCGCCAUCUGCUUCGUCUUCUGCUUCUGCGCUCUGUUGGAGUUUGCUGUGCUCAACUUCCUGAUCUACAACCAGACAAAAGCCCAUGCUUCUCCGAAACUCCGCCAUGUAUGAGCUGGGUCUGGGAGUGGUGGCAAGGCUUUGGAGUGUGGAGACAUGCUAGCAAGGGUACUGGGGUUAUGGCACAUGGGUGGUCAGCUUGCUGAGUGAUGGAAUGUUACCCAGGGUGGUGGGGGGGUUGAAUCAACUUCCGGAUGUAAUGGUGAGAAGUUGGAGGAGAGAAGCCAAGAUAUGGUGUGCCAAAGACAGUUUCCAGAAAAUCCGGAGGCGGCACUUAGACUUGGGUUAUCUUCCCUUGACUUUUCCCCACUU
RNAcentral lists this small RNA (592 nucleotides) under Pongo abelii (Sumatran orangutan). RNAcentral's name for it is "retained intron". Lineage: Eukaryota; Metazoa; Chordata; Mammalia; Primates; Hominidae. The record is from RNAcentral.